ACUCCUACGGGAGGCAGCAGUAGGGAAUCUUCCACAAUGGACGAAAGUCUGAUGGAGCAACGCCGCGUGAGUGAAGAAGGGUUUCGGCUCGUAAAACUCUGUUGUUAAAGAAGAACAUAUCUGAGAGUAACUGUUCAGGUAUUGACGGUAUUUAACCAGAAAGCCACGGCUAACUACGUGCCAGCAGCCGCGGUAAUACGUAGGUGGCAAGCGUUGUCCGGAUUUAUUGGGGCGUAAAGCGAGCGCAGGCGGUUUUUAAGUCUGAUGUGAAAGCCUUCGGCUCAACCGAAGAAGUGCAUCGGAAACUGGGAAACUUGAGUGCAGAAGAGGACAGUGGAACUCCAUGUGUAGCGGUGAAAUGCGUAGAUAUAUGGAAGAACACCAGUGGCGAAGGCGGCUGUCUGGUCUGUAACUGACGCUGAGGCUCGAAAGUAUGGGUAGCAAACAGGAUUAGAUACCCUGGUAGGAAAGCC
RNAcentral lists this ribosomal RNA (473 nucleotides) under uncultured bacterium. Its description in RNAcentral is "bacterial SSU rRNA". It matches the Rfam family "Bacterial small subunit ribosomal RNA", at positions 335 to 796 of the family's 1533-position model. The record is from RNAcentral.